RNAcentral lists this transfer RNA (75 nucleotides) under Hordeum vulgare. RNAcentral's name for it is "tRNA-OTHER". Lineage: Eukaryota; Viridiplantae; Streptophyta; Magnoliopsida; Poales; Poaceae. The record is from RNAcentral.
GCAUGCCGUAGCUGAGUUGGUCAACCCACAACUCUACCAACCGUGAGUUCCUGGGUUCGAGUCCCCCCGUGUGCC